RNAcentral lists this ribosomal RNA (1194 nucleotides) under Triticum aestivum (bread wheat). RNAcentral's name for it is "partial small subunit ribosomal RNA". The record is from RNAcentral. Lineage: Eukaryota; Viridiplantae; Streptophyta; Magnoliopsida; Poales; Poaceae.
AUGCCGACCGCCUCCUGCCUCCGCCCGCCUCUCCGCAGCGGCCGCUCCGCCGCGGCGCGCCUCGGGUUCCCUCCCCCGCCUCCCCCGGCGCAGCUCUACCCGGCGGGGCUGGCGAUUGGGAGCUGGCGGAGGAGGCUCGCCGGGGUCGGGGUGGCGGCCGCCUCCGCCUCGCCCUUCGACGAGCUCUACGCGCGGGGAAGGCCCAUGCACGGCCCCUCCAAGAAAUCUACCUUGUGGAAUUUGAUCCAAGAUAUAGAGCCUUUGGAUCUUAGUGUCAUUCAGAAAGAUGUUCCUCUUGAAACAGUUGAUGCAAUGAAGAGGACCAUCUCUGGCAUGUUGGGUCUGCUUCCAUCUGAUCAGUUCCGUGUUGUUGUAGAAGCCCUUUGGAGUCCAUUUUUCAAGUUAUUGGUAUCUUCAAUCAUGACUGGGUAUACUCUACGUAAUGCUGAAUGCAGGCUCUCUUUUGAAAGGAACCUAGAACUUUCUGAAGAAGAUGCUGAAUGUGAAAAAAGAGACACGAGUGAAGAUAAUCUUCAUGAUAUCAAUUUGGGUAGGCCUGUUACAAUUUUCAGAUUAUCGGAAGACGACAUGCCCCAGGACUCUGGAAAAAGUGACGAAGAAUCAUCUGGUGAGAGUAUGGGAGAAAUGUUAAGUAACUUAACACCCCAAGCAGAAGAGCAGAUUAUUCGGUUGCAAUCUCGUUUGGAUGCGAUGAAAAAGGAGUUACAUGACCUGAAGAGGAAAAAUUCUGCCCUUCAAAUGCAACAGUUUGUUGGGGAAGAGAAAAAUGAUCUGCUGGACUAUCUAAGAUCCCUAACACCAGAGAAGGUUGCUGAACUCUCGGAAUCCACCUGUCCCGGUGUGCAAGAGGCUAUCCAGUCUGUUGUGCAUGGUUUGCUUGCUACUCUUUCCCCCAAGGUACACUCAAAGUCUCCUCCGCCACUAGAGAAUGCUGGGGGAGCCCUAAAUUGUGGGGGUGAGGACGAUGACUGUGCAGAGCUUGUCGAGAAUACUUCCCUCCCGUUUCAGCCCCUAAUAUCUGUCCCACGUGAUUAUCUUGCACGUUUGCUAUUCUGGUGCAUGUUGCUGGGUCACUACAUCCGGGGUCUGGAAUACCGGUUAGAGCUGGCACACCUUCUCAGAAUAUCUAGCGACGUGGGGUCUUUCCCCAUUGAUGACGAUCAUUUUAUUUGA